AACGCACAUUGCGCCUCCUGCGAGGGAGGCAUGCCUGUCUGAGCGUCGAUUAAACCAUAAAUCCUAAGAUUUGUCUUGGGCCUCGCCCUCGGGCGUCGCCUCAAAGCCAGUGACCUGGAGCGGAUGAGAUUCCUCGUGAACUGGCCGCUUUGGUGAAACUUCAGACUUUGGACCUCAGAUCAGGUAGGACUACCGCCUGAACUUAA
RNAcentral lists this unclassified non-coding RNA (206 nucleotides) under uncultured fungus. RNAcentral's name for it is "sequence contains ITS2". Lineage: Eukaryota; Fungi. The record is from RNAcentral.